UUUAUGGAGAGUUUGAUCCUGGCUCAGGAUGAACGCUGGCGGCGUGCCUAAUACAUGCAAGUCGAGCGAACAGAUAAGGAGCUUGCUCCUUUGACGUUAGCGGCGGAC
This 108-nucleotide ribosomal RNA is filed under the name Staphylococcus gallinarum. RNAcentral's name for it is "partial 16S ribosomal RNA". It matches the Rfam family "Bacterial small subunit ribosomal RNA", at positions 1 to 103 of the family's 1533-position model. Lineage: Bacteria; Bacillati; Bacillota; Bacilli; Caryophanales; Staphylococcaceae. RNAcentral also lists the same sequence under 3 other names. The record is from RNAcentral.